This is a non-coding RNA of Labrus bergylta (ballan wrasse), 406 nucleotides long. NCBI's taxonomy places the organism in Eukaryota, Metazoa, Chordata, Actinopteri, Labriformes, Labridae. The record is from RefSeq and is a predicted model, not a curated record.
UCGUGAUAACAUCUUUGCUGCUGCGUUUCUCUUGGCUAACUUCUUGGAGGUUCCACUGCCUGCAGAGAUCCAGGAGAUUGAGAAUGAGAAAUGUCAUGGUGAACUCUUUCCGAUGUGCUGGACCGGACUCCUGAGUGACGGUGUAUUCUGGCAAACGCCAUCCUUUCUGCACCACCAGUUCCUAGCAGAGAGGAACACAAACAUGGUUACAUUCGGACUGCUGAGAACUGCCUGAGGUCUUCAUUUCAGACUGGGAGCUGUGCAGAGAAUGAGAUAAAACAAACACAGAAGAGGAAAUACUGAAACCACACUGGCUUCUUCUCUCAAAGAAGGUCAAUGACUUGACAUCCCGUCAGAUAUACAGAACAUACUAAGAUGUUAAAUCUGAAAAACAUCUACUGACUCU